Chiloscyllium plagiosum (whitespotted bambooshark) is the source of this 1317-nucleotide non-coding RNA. Lineage: Eukaryota; Metazoa; Chordata; Chondrichthyes; Orectolobiformes; Hemiscylliidae. The record is from RefSeq and is a predicted model, not a curated record.
UGUAAUACAGCUAGUCCACCAGGAUGCCCAGAGGUGGCUUGGAUAUAAAUAAGCAGCGCUGACAGAUGGUUCAUUCUUGUCUGUGCUCCGGGCAAUCCAACAUAUGAAGAGGUACAAUACAGACUAAUUUCCAACUGGGACCAGGCUGAGUUUCUUCCGCCGGAGGUUGGGGAGCUCACUGAAAUACUCGUGUGUGUGUGUGUGAGACUGGGCGUUACUGACUCGGGACGUAUUCCUGAAAGAGUGGACAGAUGCUGCCAGACCUGUUGAGUUUCUCCAGCAAUUCCUGUUUUUGGUGUGUCCAACCCUUCAAACAUCACCCAUCCUACAGUUCACAGAAUCUGCAGAUUACCAAUGGAUUUAUCAGCCAUCUCAUAACCCAGGUGAAUGAGAGGCAAACCAUCCUCAAUCCUGAGAGAGACGACCUUUGAAGUUGACAAGUUGUUAAACAAUGCAUAACUACAGUGCAAUUAAAAAUGAAAAAAAAAACUGCCAUAGUUUCUCAACUUCAGAACCAAACAAAAAUAAGACAAAGGAGGAGGCUUAUAUGGAUUUUGACACAACUGUUUGGUUAUGGUGGAGUUUGGAAAUGUCGAGAAAAAAUGUAGCCAGCCUACCUGCAAUCUCAAAAAGCACAAGAGCAAAAAGGUGCCUUUUUUGGGGAAUCGUGCAUUCAGAGAGGUGGAAACGAUCACUCCCACUGGGACCUCCCGGUACGUCCCAGCACCUUCCAGUGGUGAUGCCCCCCGCACCAUAUUUAAAGGCGCGCACUACGUCAGAUGCUACGGACCAAAAAACGGGCCUCACGCUGUCACACCCGACCAUUCUUAGCCAGGAGAUGGCCCAUGGGAAAGAGAGGCUGAAGGCUUGAUCCUUGACACAGACCAGGAGGUGUUGGCGGAUAGGGUGGCGAAGUAUAGAGCAAUCCUUUCUCUGGCUGACUGAUUUGCUCUGGUGGUGAGUGUGGCAAUCUGCCCACAGCUCAGUCCUGUGUCUCGGGUAAUGUGUGAGGCCCAGCACCACAGGAAGGUCAGUGACCUCUUGCACUCCUCAUGAGGAAGCACCACUAUCUUUUCUCACCUAUCUCUCACUUACAGGGCCAUCACUCGAACUCUGUCUUUGCACACAAAUCUCAUCAAGGCAUGUGGACUGUAACUCUCACUAUCGCCUGCAGGAUCUCAACUCAAUAACUCUCACCCACCUCAUCCUCCCGAAUAUUAACCGAUACUCGCCCCUCUGUGCUUCCUACUCACUCACUGGGGCCAUCUCCUGCCCUUCCAUUCAUUUCCAUUGUACUCAAUCUCUCCCUUCGUCUCA